GAUCUGUUCAUUCAGCCAGUUAUGCUUUCAUUCACUGAACAGACAUAGAUUGUCUACUAUGUGCCAGAGACUGUUCUAGAUGCUGGGGACAGAGGUUGAUUUGAUAAUCUGCAUGAUUUGAACAUCCUAAUUUGGUCUGUGAGCCUCUGUUCCAUGACAGAACAGCUUGCCUGGUACUUGGAGAUUCCCAUCGUGUUGAGAAUCCUGUAGACUGGCCACGCUGCAAACUCCCUGCAGGAGGCCUCCAGGGAGCACCAGCCCUGCUGCUCCCUCAAGUUCCCUGGGAUUUUUACUAAGAAUCACUUGUGUCUGGUCUCAAAUAUGUUUAUGACAUUUGUAUUUGUUACUGUAAUUUUGUAUUUUAAUUAAAUAUUAUGUAAUCAAAAUAAUGAGUGGCAAAAGCUUCUAUAUGAACUAAGGAUGAAUACUUUGCAAAUACUCGAUAAAGGCAUGUUGUUAAAAAAUGAGUACUGUCUGAUUAGGUAUAUACAAUAGGCCAUUCUUGCAUUGCUAUGAAGAAAUAUCUGAGACUGGGUAAUUUAUAAAGAAAAGAGGUUUAAUUGGCUCACGAUUCUGCAAGCUGUACAGGAAGCAUGGUUCUGGCAUCUAUUUGGCUUCUGGGGAAACCUCAGGUAGCUUACAAUUAUGGCAGAAGGCGAAGGAGGGGCUGGCAUCCCACGUGGUGAGAGGGAGUGUAGGGGAGAGGGAGAGAAAGACAGAGAGUGCGAGAGAGAAAGUAUGAACACAUUUCUAAACAAUCAGAUUUCCUGAGAACCCACUCAUAGCAACAAGACAUGAUGGAUCUGCCCCCAUUACCCAAACACCUCCCACCAGGCCCCGCCUCCAACACUAGGGAUCACAAUUCAACAUGAGAUUUCACGGGGACAUAUAUUCAAACCAUAUCAGUUUAGUUAUCCCUCUUUCUAACCCUUUUUUUUUUUUUUGAGACGGAGUCUUACACUGUUGCCCAGGCUGCAGUGCAGUGGUGCGAUCUCGGUGCUCGCUGCAACCUCUGCCUCCCGGGCUCAAGCAACUCUCCUGCCUCAGCCUCCAGAGUAAUUGGGACUACAGGCUCACGCCACCACGCCUGGCUAAUUUUUGUAUUUUAGUAGAGACGGGGUUUCACCAUGUUGGCCAGGCUGGUCUUGAACUCCUGACCUCACGUGAUCUGCCUAUCUCAGCCUCCCAAAGUGCUGGGAUUACAAGCAUGAGCCACCGCGCACCCAGACUCUACCCCUCUUUUUAAAGAAAAAAAAAAAGUUGUCCUUCCUCUUCCCAGGGUUAGACAUUUACCAUCAAAAUUUAGAUAACAGCUUUAAACGAAUACACACACACACGCAUACAAACACAGUAGGGAGCAGUGAAAAAUAUCUUAUUUUAAGUAUUUCUUAGGUAUAGCUUUAUAGUAGUAAUUAUGGCUGAUACAACAACUCUUAUAAAUACCUUUAUUUAUAAUUUUUCCCUUUGUAGAAUAGCUGACUUCAAUUGCUAAAUCUCAUAUCACCAUAACUCCCAACUGAGCCUUCAGUACAACCUCCUAGACUUGCAUUUUAAUGUUCACCAUGAUUACCAAGGCAAUAAAAGAUGCUGAAGUGAAUUCUACAGUCAUCAAAAAAAAUUAAUUAUACUUAAUAUACUACUGAUUUUAUUUGUUGUGUUCUGAUUCUUUGAAAAUAAUUGGUAAACCAUAUGUGUUUAAUGUAAUAGCUUUCUACUAACCAGAAUAUUUAAUAAGCCAAAACAUUGAUUUUCCCACCAUCUUGGAAAACCAAAUUUAAUGUCUUCAAUACAUAACAAAGUUGAAGUUGAUGACAUUAUUGUGCCAUAGGUAUUUGUUAAGCUCCACUUCCUCUCCAGAAAGAAGCCUGAGGGGUUUUCUUGCUUUAAAGCAGAGUACAUUUGGGAUCCUGAAAUUUCAAACCAGCUAAUGAAUUUGAGGCUCUGUGUUUAUUCCAGAAAAUAAAAUCACUUUGUUUAAAAU
Molecule: long non-coding RNA, 1981 nt
Organism: Pan troglodytes (chimpanzee)
Lineage: Eukaryota; Metazoa; Chordata; Mammalia; Primates; Hominidae
Exons: 3
Source: RefSeq, a predicted model, not a curated record